Eutrema salsugineum is the source of this 556-nucleotide RNA transcript. RefSeq lists it as uncharacterized. The record is from RefSeq and is a predicted model, not a curated record. NCBI's taxonomy places the organism in Eukaryota, Viridiplantae, Streptophyta, Magnoliopsida, Brassicales, Brassicaceae. The transcript is spliced from 2 exons.
ACACUUUUACGUUUUAACUAAACCAACGAAAAAAUGUAUAACGUCGUUGUUUGCUUAUUAACUUUGACUUUUCUCUUGCUCUCUGGAUUUUCAAACACAGCAUUCGCCCGAGUACAAUACGAAUCUCCAAAGCUAAUAGGAGAACGGGUUUGGGAUCAAAAGGUGAUAAAAGAGAUCAAGGCUGAAGUAGAUGGUAGUUGUUCCGGGCGUGCAGGAGGAAAAGGACCACCAAAUAGUCCAGGCUCACGAAAUAUACCAGGCUCACGAAAACGAUGUACCAAACCCUAGCGUAAUUUGCUGGUCACAAAAAUAGAAACUAUUUCCGUAGAUUUUGUAUCAAGAUUAAAAACAAGUCGUAGAACGUACGGUUUUUUGUUGUUGUUGUUAUUAAUCUACUCCAAACAUAAGUGGUAGACAUAUCGAUGGUCCUAGGUUUGGAAUCUUACAAGACUAAUUAGGGAACCGCGCGUGAUUAACAUGUUUUGCUAAUGCUUUUAAUUUGAUGGACAAAUAUGCAUGCACCAGUAGUAUUUUGUUAUCGAUCGGACAAGGCACA